AAGGCUGAGGUGUGAUGACGAGGCACUACGGUGCUGAAGUAACAAAUGCCCUGCUUCCAGGAAAAGCCUCUAAGCAUCAGGUAACAUCAAAUCGUACCCCAAACCGACACAGGUGGUCAGGUAGAGAAUACCAAGGCGCUUGAGAGAACUCGGGUGAAGGAACUAGGCAAAAUGGUGCCGUAACUUCGGGAGAAGGCACGCUGGUGUGUAGGUGAAGUCCCUGCGGAUGGAGCUGAGACCAGUCGAAGAUACCAGCUGGCUGCAACUGUUUAUUAAAAACACAGCACUGUGCAAACACGAAA
Molecule: ribosomal RNA, 302 nt
Filed under: Klebsiella pneumoniae
Lineage: Bacteria; Pseudomonadati; Pseudomonadota; Gammaproteobacteria; Enterobacterales; Enterobacteriaceae
Description: partial 23S ribosomal RNA
Rfam family: Bacterial large subunit ribosomal RNA
Source: RNAcentral